This is a non-coding RNA of Amborella trichopoda, 105 nucleotides long. NCBI's taxonomy places the organism in Eukaryota, Viridiplantae, Streptophyta, Magnoliopsida, Amborellales, Amborellaceae. The record is from Rfam.
GAGAGCCGUGUGAUGGGUGACCAUCUCACACGGUUCGGGGAGUUUAUUAUGUGAUGCGAGUGAAUGUGUGCGGCAUAGCUGGCAUCAAUUCAAUUCUGACUCUAU